ACGGAAGGCAGCAGUGGGGAAUAUUGCACAAUGGGCGCAAGCCUGAUGCGGCAACGCCGCGUGAGGGAAGACGGUCUUCGGAUUGUAAACCUCUGUCCUUGGUGACGAAUAAUGACGGUAGCCGAGGAGGAAGCCACGGCUAACUACGUGCCAGCAGCCGCGGUAAUACGUAGGUGGCAAGCGUUGUCCGGAUUUACUGGGUGUAAAGGGAGCGCAGGCGGGAAAGCAAGUCAGCUGUGAAAUAUACAGGCUUAACCUGUAGACUGCAGUUGAAACUGUUUUUCUUGAGUGGAGUAGAGGUAAGCGGAAUUCCGAGUGUAGCGGUGAAAUGCGUAGAGAUUCGGAGGAACACCAGUGGCGAAGGCGGCUUGCUGGGCUCUAACUGACGCUGAGGCUCGAAAGUGUGGGGAGCAAACAGGAUUAGAUACCCUGGUA
RNAcentral lists this ribosomal RNA (435 nucleotides) under uncultured Oscillospiraceae bacterium. RNAcentral's name for it is "partial 16S ribosomal RNA". It matches the Rfam family "Bacterial small subunit ribosomal RNA", at positions 341 to 792 of the family's 1533-position model. The record is from RNAcentral. Lineage: Bacteria; Bacillati; Bacillota; Clostridia; Eubacteriales; Oscillospiraceae.